Molecule: ribosomal RNA, 253 nt
Filed under: uncultured bacterium
Lineage: Bacteria
Description: partial 16S ribosomal RNA
Rfam family: Bacterial small subunit ribosomal RNA
Source: RNAcentral
UACGUAGGGUGCGAGCGUUAAUCGGAAUUACUGGGCGUAAAGCGUGCGCAGGCGGUCGUGCAAGACAGAUGUGAAAUCCCCGGGCUCAACCUGGGAACUGCAUUUGUGACUGCACGGCUGGAGUGCGGCAGAGGGGGAUGGAAUUCCGCGUGUAGCAGUGAAAUGCGUAGAUAUGCGGAGGAACACCGAUGGCGAAGGCAAUCCCCUGGGCCUGCACUGACGCUCAGGCGCGAAAGCCAGGGGAGCAAACGGG